Molecule: ribosomal RNA, 233 nt
Filed under: uncultured bacterium
Lineage: Bacteria
Description: partial 16S ribosomal RNA
Rfam family: Bacterial small subunit ribosomal RNA
Source: RNAcentral
UCCACGCCCUAAACGAUGAACACUAGUCGUCGGGAUGCUAGUCAUCUCGGUGAUGCACUUAACAGAUUAAGUGUUCCGCCUGGGGAGUACGGUCGCAAGAUUAAAACUCAAAGGAAUAGACGGGGACCCGCACAAGUGGUGGAGCAUGUGGUUUAAUUCGAAUACGCGAAGAACCUUACCUAGCCUUGACAUUGAAGAAACACCACUCUAUCUCUAGUGUGUUGCCCUUUCGG